UACAGAGGUCUCAAGCGUUGUUCGGAUUUAUUGGGCGUAAAGGGCGCGUAGGCGGCGGGGUAAGUCGGGUGUGAAAUCUCAGGGCUCAACCCUGAAACUGCACUUGAUACUGCUCUGCUUGAGGACUGGAGAGGAGACUGGAAUUCACGGUGUAGCAGUGAAAUGCGUAGAUAUCGUGAGGAAGACCAGUGGCGAAGGCGGGUCUCUGGACAGUUCCUGACGCUGAGGCGCGAAGGCCAGGGGAGCAAACAGG
Molecule: ribosomal RNA, 253 nt
Filed under: uncultured bacterium
Lineage: Bacteria
Description: partial 16S ribosomal RNA
Rfam family: Bacterial small subunit ribosomal RNA
Source: RNAcentral